Molecule: long non-coding RNA, 1561 nt
Filed under: Mus musculus (house mouse)
Lineage: Eukaryota; Metazoa; Chordata; Mammalia; Rodentia; Muridae
Description: predicted gene, 49146
Source: RNAcentral
GCCGUAUAAUUUCCAAUAAAGAAUGGCCAAGAUCAAAAACUGGUAAAAGCACAUGCUGGUGAGAAUGUGAGAAAAGAGAAACAAAACUUCAUUUCUGGUGGGAGUGCAAAGUGCUAUGAUAUCUAUGGAAAUCAAUCUGGAGGUUCCUCAGAAAGUUGGAAAUAGAUCUGCCUGAAGGCCAAAGACUUACCUUCGUGGCCUAUGGCUUCCUAAUUUCAUGUUUCACCCAAUGGCUUAUUAUUUAGAUCUUCCUACUGGGCUUCGACUUUGAUCUUGGUAAGCAUUUGGUCUCUUUGAUUCUCAAACAGUUCUCUGUCCUCACACAGUUUUGAGGUACCGCCAGCCCCAGGGACAUAUUUUUUUCCUUCAAAUUUCUCCAAAUCUGGGGACUUCUAAUAUUUGGGGAACUGAGUGACAAAAGCAAUGUAUGUUGAGCACUUUAGUACCCAGUGUGUAUGAAACUAUGUGUGUUUAGAUAUGGUAAACCUCUAGAACAUACUUUAUUAAAGAAGCAGUAUGCUCUUAGGUUCCCUCUUUGACCUCACUUAACUUUGCCAGCUUUGUGGGCUGCUGUACUGCUGCUCGGAGAACAAUUGGAAACUCCUGGAAUAGAUGCCUCAUGUCUCAUUGCCUUUGCCAGGCUUAGGACACUAGUGGGAGUAGGUUUGAUGGGACAUUAACAAAACCAGGGCUUCUUGUGAACCAUCUGAAUGCAGCACCAUGUUCCAGGACAGUUCUGUAUGAACUUCUCAUAUCCAGGAAAUGGAGCAAGAGGAAAGCCAAGCAGAAGGCAUCCAUUUCCAGCACCCUCAACACCUUUUCACAGGACGGGAUACCUCAGGUCUUCAGUCUUCUACCAGGUGAGCUGGACCUAAGAGCAGCCUAGUUGACCUUCCUACUGGCAUGGCAUGAUUCUGCAACAAUCCUUUUCUUGAUAAAAAAGAACACAUAUGGAGUAGACCCCUUGUUGGUGCAUCCAGAAUCCUUUAGGCCAGGAAACAACCAAGCCACAGAUAGUGAAAAACCAAAGGAAAAAUCACAUUGCCAAAGUAUGGGCUCCAUGUUGGAAGAAAAGGCCCUCAACUUCUAAGGUAUCUACAAUAUCCACCCCCUCAAUUGUGAGCUCUGCAUGUUGGUAUUUUGUGACUCCAGAUGGUAGUCAAAGGCAGAUGUCUUCCCGCAAAAGACAUACAUGAUUUUUCAUCUUGCAUCUCUGAGGGCAGGUUGCAUUAUAGCACACACUCAGCACACCCAGCAUAAGAACACAGAAGCCUCAGAUGACAGAGCCAAAGGGACUCCAUCCUGAACUUAUGGACCCAUUAAAAUUGAAGUUUAACCUGAACUCAGGCCAUUCCACUCCUUGCCCUACCUCCUGAGAUUUAUGAUUGCUAUGAGUAGAGUAUUAUGAUACAACCCCAGCAUCCUCAUGCCUGCACUUGGGAACUCAGGAAGACUGAUAUUAGAGAACUGAUGGCUAUGAGGCUACAAUGCAGUACAGUCCAGGUUGACCUUUUCUCAAUGAUGCCCACUUUAAUUGUCUGGUUGUAUUUGGAAAGGGAGG